CGCACCUACCGAUUGAAUGUUUCGGUGAAAGAUGCCGGACCCGAACUUGAGCGCUUCACGGCGCACGGGGGAAAAGGAAGUUAUCUAAACCUCAACAUUUAGAGGAAGGUGAAGUCGUAACAAGGUUUCCGUAGGUGAACCUGCGGAAGGAUCAUUA
RNAcentral lists this ribosomal RNA (157 nucleotides) under Fucus vesiculosus. RNAcentral describes it as "partial 18S ribosomal RNA". It matches the Rfam family "Eukaryotic small subunit ribosomal RNA", at positions 1677 to 1831 of the family's 1831-position model. Lineage: Eukaryota; Phaeophyceae; Fucales; Fucaceae. The record is from RNAcentral.